This 308-nucleotide ribosomal RNA is filed under the name uncultured eukaryote. RNAcentral describes it as "partial 18S ribosomal RNA". It matches the Rfam family "Eukaryotic small subunit ribosomal RNA", at positions 1470 to 1796 of the family's 1831-position model. The record is from RNAcentral.
CCCUUAGAUGUGCUGGGCCGCACGCGGGAUACAAUGACCCGUUCAGAAAGUAUAACCUGACCCGGAAGGGAGUGGGUAAUCUUUUUAAUGCGGGUCGUGCUAGGGAUCGAUCUUUGCAAUUAUAGAUCUUGAACGAGGAAUACCUAGUAAGUGCAAGUCAUCAGCUUGUACUGAUUACGUCCCUGGUGUUUGUACUCACCGCCCGUCGCUCCUACCAAUUUCGAAUGAUCCGGUGAACCUUUUGGAUUGGGUGCAAGCCUAAGAAGUUAAGUAAACCUCAUCAUUUAGAGGAAGGAAAAGUCGUAACA